This 1345-nucleotide ribosomal RNA is filed under the name Chrysotimus molliculus. RNAcentral describes it as "16S ribosomal RNA". The record is from RNAcentral. Lineage: Eukaryota; Metazoa; Arthropoda; Insecta; Diptera; Dolichopodidae.
GUUAAAAAAUUAUUAUGUUAUAUUUUUAAAAAAUUAAAUUAUUAAAAUUAAUUAUUUAUUUAUUUAGUUAUAGUAUUUUUUAUAGAAUUAAUAAUUUUAAUUAUAGUUAAUUAGUAUUGUAAAAGAAUUUUGAAAUAAUUGAAAAAUUUACAAUUUAAAAGAAAAUUUAAUUUAUUGUACCUUGUGUAUCAGGGUUUAUUAAAUAAAUAUUUUUUAUAAAAAAUUUUCUCGAAAAAAAAAGAUUUAAUUAAAUAUUAUAGUUAAUGUAUCAUAAUUAUUAUAAAUAUUUUUUUUGAAAUGAAAUGUUAUUCGGUUUUUUUGAUAUCUAGUUUUUUUAGAAAUAAAUUUAAUUUAUUUAUUAUAGAAUUAUUUUUUUUUAUAAAAAUUAAAUAAUUUAUAAUAAAAAUAUUUAAUGGGAUGAGCUUUUGAAUAAAUUUUUAUAAAUUUUUAUUUAUAUACAUAUAUUUAUAUGCUUAUAAUUAGCAAUUAAUAAUAAGUUUGUUAUAAAUUUAUAUUUUAAUAAAAUAUUAUUUAAUUUAUUUUAAAUUUUUUAUAAAAAUUUUAAAUUUAAUUUUAAAUUUUAAUUAAUAAUGAUAGAAUUAGUAUAAUUUUUAGUUAAAAUAUAUUAAAUUUAUGUUAAUUUAUUUUAAGGAAUUUGGCAAAUUUUUUAUUCGCCUGUUUAACAAAAACAUGUCUUUUUGAAUUUUAUUUAAAGUCUAAUCUGCCCACUGAUAAAUUUAAUUUAAUGGCCGCAGUAUCUUAACUGUGCAAAGGUAGCAUAAUCAUUAGUCUUUUAAUUGGAGGCUUGUAUGAAUGAUUGGACGAAAUAUAAGCUGUCUUAAUUUUAUGUAUUGAAUUUUAUUUUUUAGUUAAAAAGCUAAAAUUUGUUUAAAAGACGAGAAGACCCUAUAGAUCUUAAUUAAUUAUAUAUUUAUUUUUUUAGGUUAUUUUUUAAAAUAAUAUUUUAAUUUAUUUUAUUGGGGUGAUAUUGAAAUUAAUUUAACUUUCAAUUAUUAUAAUCCAUUGAUUUAUGAAAUUUUGAUCCUUUAUUAUUGAUUAAAAAUUUAAGUUACCUUAGGGAUAACAGCGUAAUUAUUUUGGAGAGUUCUUAUCGAUAAAAUAGGUUGCGACCUCGAUGUUGGAUUAAGAUUAAUUCUGGGGGUAGAUUUUCAGUUUAUUAAGUCUGUUCGACUUUUAAUUUCUUACAUGAUCUGAGUUCAAACCGGCGUAAGCCAGGUUGGUUUCUAUCUUUAAAAAAAUAUAAUAUUUUAGUACGAAAGGACCAAAUAUUAAAAAAAUUAUUUUUUAAAAUAUAUUGAAUCUUAUUAAUAUAAUUGAAUAAUAA